AUUGAUUCCCGACUGAAGGUAGAGAGGACUACGUGGUGGGGGAGGGCGGGGGGAGGGUCCCGGCGGCAGUGGCGACCUCCGCUGCGCGGCUGCGUCCCGAGGAAUUACAAGACGCGGACCAGCAGCACAUCCUGGGAAUAAUAUCCGCUGCCCUUGCGUGUCUUGCACAGUGACUGCGUAGGACGCCACCGUGGAGAGCCCACUGCGGGGUCACGGCCGCUGCGCUCAGCCUCCGUCUGGCUCUGGUGCAGGAGGCCUAGUUGCGUCACCUCCCUUUCCUUCAUCUGUUUGGCUUGAUUCCUGGGCCCCACUAGAGGCAUUGUCCAGAUGUGAACCAAGAUUUGGCCUUUUCACCAAGAGAAAAGGGAAGGCUCAUGGGCAUGGGCACACAGUGCUGAGAUCGUGGGCACACAUACUGGGGAUUGAACCCAGGGGCCUCAUGCAUGCCCGGCAAGCGCUCUACCACUGAGCUACUUCUUCAAUCCAGUAAACUAGUUUUAAACAGAUGGCAUUCAUGGUGUUUUUGUGUCAUUUCUCUAUUCUGUGUCAUUUCUCUCUUUAAAGAUGACUUAAGUCCAUAUAGUGAACUAUUAGGAACAUGCAAGGUUUAUAUAACUCAUCCACAUGAACUGCUCUACACACACAUCCUUGUAGUUCCUCUGCCCAAGAAGCUCUGAUUCUGUUUCUAUAAUCUGACAGAUACCUUGAAGCCACUUGUUUCAUCAUUUUUAUCAGACUCAAUGAGUGAGACCCUCUGACAUCUUUCUUUUUUUUCCCCUUUGUACCAUCCCCUACCACACACAAAAAGUGUUCUU
Sciurus carolinensis (gray squirrel) is the source of this 815-nucleotide long non-coding RNA. RefSeq lists it as uncharacterized. The record is from RefSeq and is a predicted model, not a curated record. The transcript is spliced from 4 exons. Lineage: Eukaryota; Metazoa; Chordata; Mammalia; Rodentia; Sciuridae.